Molecule: long non-coding RNA, 1458 nt
Filed under: Nicotiana tabacum (common tobacco)
Lineage: Eukaryota; Viridiplantae; Streptophyta; Magnoliopsida; Solanales; Solanaceae
Description: long non-coding RNA (NTAB_LNC004991)
Source: RNAcentral
CUAACUAAUUUUCUACUUCUCACCUUUUGUAGGACAAACUUUUGUGAUCAAUUAUUGAAACAUUUUAUUUUAUUGAUCUUACCAUAUGCACCUCACAUACCAGAUAAGUUUGGUCUUGGCAUACGAGCUCCUAUGUGAGGUAAGUUUUUUCUCCACGAGGUAAGUUUUUUGUUAAUUUUAGAUUUCACUUCAUUCUUCUUCAAUAUCUUGCCCGCCAGGCAGAUCAUAAGUUUUUAUUGAAGUUAUUACUACAGAACUUGUUAGGUAAAUUCCUACUACAGUCUACAGACCUUGUUUGGUGAAGUGACUGACAGAUGCAAGUAUAUGUUAACCAAGCAGAGCCAACAAGAAUUAAACAGUAACUUUGUUUCUAGUUGAACUAGUUAGUAAAACGCAUAGUAGUGAUAGAUUGUUGAAAAUAGAAAACAAGCCGAAAGGGAGAAAGAUUUAUUGUUCAGUCUUCCGACGGCCAAUAUUUACAUCAGAGGACUAGUAUGCGUUACUGGCUAGCAAAAUAAAAAUUUACAAGCCAAAAAGUUACACAAACGCGCAUCGUUCAUGUUUUCUGCAAUAUUUGAAACAAACGGAUAUCAGUAAUGGCAAGUGGUAAAGUGUAUCUGGAAUAGGGACCGGCUAUCAAUUGCAUUACCUUUGACACACAGGCAUGACGGCCAUCAGAAGAUGUACAAGCAAAGCAACUGGUAGUCCAAAGCUUUUGCAGCUUCCUCUUUUACAGACAAGAGGAAAAAUGUAUGCAGACAAAAGUUUCAUCUAUAAACAUAGAAUGGGAAGCAAUGUGCCCUUUUUUAUACUUGUAGUUUCUCUGAGUUACUUUUUCUCUAUGUUAAAGAGAGUUAAGAAUUGAAAGUUGUUAGACUUUACUGGCCGAAGAAUGAAAAAGUAGAGAGAGCGUUCACUAACCUUUAUUUUUUCUUAGGAGGGGCUUCGGGUUCGAUUUGUUCUGUAGUUAACUCUUUCUUUUUCAACUCUUUCUUCACCUCUUUUGUGGCUGCAACAUCUUUUUCAGUUGUAUCUUGAGGAGUCUGUGAGUAAGAUGUUGUCGCACAUGUUCAAGAGGCAAUGACUCUUUCUGCAAGAGGAGAAUGUGCCUUUAAAGACCAAGAUAUUAGUCAAAGUAAUGUACUUUCAAUCGAAAUAAAUGUUUUAAGCGCUUUGUUGUAAUAGACUAAUAUCACAAAUACAAUGCUAAGAAAAUUUCAUUGUAAAGAUGCUGUAAAAUAGAAGAGGACAUCAAACUCAGUAAGAGUGAUAUAUGUUGUUAUAUCAACAUCAGUGGGAAGAGAAAGUUGAAAUAACUGAAAGAACCUUGCACAUGUCAGGAAGAUGCAUCAAGAGCGUAAAACCAAAUAAAUUCGUUCUUCCUUAAUUUGCAAUUUUAGGUUUUCGUGCCGGUUCACGUGAUAACAUAGGUGGUCUUUUAUUAUUUCUGGGAAUGAG